AAUAGAUACCCAGGUAGUCCACGCCAUAAACGAUGAGGACUAGACGUUGGAGGGGUAAGCCUUUCAGUGUCGCAGCUAACGCGCUAAGUCCUCCGCCUGGGGAGUACGGCCGCAAGGUUGAAACUCAAAAGAAUUGACGGGGACCCGCACAAGCGGUGGAGCAUGUGGUUUAAUUCGAUGCAACGCGAAGAACCUUACCUGGUCUUGACAUCCAUGGAACCCUGCAGAGAUGCGGGGGUGCCGUAAGGAACCAUGAGACAGGUGCUGCAUGGCUGUCGUCAGCUCGUGUCGUGAGAUGUUGGGUUAAGUCCCGCAACGAGCGCAACCCUUGUCCUUAGUUGCCAUCAUUUAGUUGGGAACUCUAAGGAGACCGCCGGUGGCAAACCGGAGGAAGGUGGGAUGACGUCAAGUCAUCAUGGCCUUUAUGACCAGGGCUACACACGUGCUACAAUGGUAGAUACAGAGGGAAGCCAACGCGCGAGCGGGAGCUAAUCCCAGAAAAUCUAUCGUAGUCCGGA
RNAcentral lists this ribosomal RNA (518 nucleotides) under uncultured bacterium. RNAcentral's name for it is "bacterial SSU rRNA". It matches the Rfam family "Bacterial small subunit ribosomal RNA", at positions 777 to 1297 of the family's 1533-position model. The record is from RNAcentral.